AAGUCGUAACAAGGUUUCCGUAGGUGAACCUGCGGAAGGAUCAUUAACACUUUUAUUAACACUAUUAAAACUUCUGUGCACUUUGUUUUUAUUAUUGAAAACAAAUCGCCCAGAUGAGUCUUUCGAGAUUCAUUUGUGCGUAAAAAGCAUACGAAAGAAAGUGGAAGCGUAAUAGUUUCUUCUUUGUUUUUUAUGCUUUUCUAUUUUCUUUUUAAACACCUUAUAUACAAUCUUUUAACAUCGUUUUACAUUUCAAUCGAGAUGUAAUCCAACUGUUAAUACUAAACACAAGUCUUACCAGCGGAUAUCUCGGUUCCC
This 318-nucleotide unclassified non-coding RNA is filed under the name fungal sp. RNAcentral's name for it is "partial internal transcribed spacer region". The stretch from base 1 to 46 matches the Rfam family "Eukaryotic small subunit ribosomal RNA", at positions 1786 to 1831 of the family's 1831-position model. Lineage: Eukaryota; Fungi. The record is from RNAcentral.